GACAGAGGAGCCAAGCGUUGUCCGGAGUGACUGGGCGUAAAGCGCACGCAGGCGGUUCGGUGCGUGGGGGUGUGAAAGCUCUCGGCUCAACUGAGAGAGGCCACCUCAUACGGCCGGGCUGGAGCCCGUGAGAGGUCCACGGAAUUGCCGGUGUAGUGGUGAAAUGCGUAGAGAUCUGGAGGAACACCGAUGGCGAAGGCAGCCUUCUGGGCCAACACUGACGCUCAUGCACGAAAGCUAGGGGGAGCAAACAGG
Molecule: ribosomal RNA, 255 nt
Filed under: uncultured bacterium
Lineage: Bacteria
Description: partial 16S ribosomal RNA
Rfam family: Bacterial small subunit ribosomal RNA
Source: RNAcentral